GACGUAGGGCGCGAGCGUUGUCCGGAUUUAUUGGGCGUAAAGGGCUCGUAGGCGGUUUGUCGCGUCGGGAGUGAAAACCCAGGGCUUAACUCUGGGCUUGCUUUCGAUACGGGCAGACUAGAGGUAUGCAGGGGAGAACGGAAUUCCUGGUGUAGCGGUGAAAUGCGCAGAUAUCAGGAGGAACACCGGUGGCGAAGGCGGUUCUCGGGGCAUUACCUGACGCUGAGGAGCGAAAGUGUGGGGAGCGAACAGG
This 253-nucleotide ribosomal RNA is filed under the name uncultured bacterium. Its description in RNAcentral is "partial 16S ribosomal RNA". It matches the Rfam family "Bacterial small subunit ribosomal RNA", at positions 524 to 776 of the family's 1533-position model. The record is from RNAcentral.